RNAcentral lists this long non-coding RNA (245 nucleotides) under Pan troglodytes (chimpanzee). RNAcentral's name for it is "long non-coding RNA NONPTRT000465". The record is from RNAcentral. Lineage: Eukaryota; Metazoa; Chordata; Mammalia; Primates; Hominidae.
UUCCUGGGUUACUGUACAGAGUGUAAGGUGAUGAUUAACUUUGAUUUCCAUAGAAGCAAUUGUAAGAGGAAUCGGGCUGGAAGGACAUCAAGAGAAUGUGAGAUUAGCCACAGAAAACCCAUUCAGGGUCAUGGAUAUUGUGAAAUAUGUGCCCAACAAGGGAUUUGGGAGUUGUGAGCUUUGUUCUUGAGGAUUUUUGGGAACUUGCUGCCCAUCCACUUGAUUUCAGAUGGAGUCCAUAGGCU